This 258-nucleotide ribosomal RNA is filed under the name uncultured bacterium. RNAcentral's name for it is "partial 16S ribosomal RNA". It matches the Rfam family "Bacterial small subunit ribosomal RNA", at positions 96 to 354 of the family's 1533-position model. The record is from RNAcentral.
UGGCGGACGGGUGAGUAACGCGUGGGGAACCUGCCUUGCACCGGGGGAUAACACUUAGAAAUAGGUGCUAAUACCGCAUAAGCGCACAGAGCCGCAUGGCUCGGUGUGAAAAACUCCGGUGGUGCAAGAUGGACCCGCGUCUGAUUAGCUGGUUGGCGGGGUAACGGCCCACCAAGGCGACGAUCAGUAGCCGGCCUGAGAGGGUGAACGGCCACAUUGGGACUGAGACACGGCCCAAACUCCUACGGAAGGCAGCAG